Molecule: ribosomal RNA, 253 nt
Filed under: uncultured bacterium
Lineage: Bacteria
Description: partial 16S ribosomal RNA
Rfam family: Bacterial small subunit ribosomal RNA
Source: RNAcentral
UACAGAGGGGGCAAGCGUUAUUCGGAAUUAUUGGGCGUAAAGGGCGCGCAGGCGGUUGUGCAAGACCGAUGUGAAAUCCCCGGGCUUAACCUGGGAAUUGCAUUUGUGACUGCACGGCUAGAGUGUGUCAGAGGGGGGUAGAAUUCCACGUGUAGCAGUGAAAUGCGUAGAUAUGUGGAGGAAUACCGAUGGCGAAGGCAGCCCCCUGGGAUAACACUGACGCUCAUGCACGAAAGCGUGGGGAGCAAACAGG